AGAGUUUGAUCCUGGCUCAGAACAAACGCUGGCGGCGUGUCUGAAUGAUGCGAGUCGAACGAAAACGUACCCUUCGGGGUACUAGUAAAGUGGCGAACGGGUGAGUAACAUGUGUGCAACCUGCCUCUGGAAGGGGGAUAACACCUUGAAAAGGGUGCUAAUACCGCAUAGAGUUGCGCGACGCAAGUCGCGUAAUGAAAGGUGGCCUCUACUUGGUAAGCUAUCGUCCAGAGAUGGGCACGCCGUCCUAUUAGCUAGUUUGUGAGGUAACGGCUCACCAAGGCAACGAUGGGUAGCCGGCCUGAGAGGGUGAACGGCCAUACUGGGAUUGAGAUACGGCCCAGACUCCUACGGGAGGCAGCAAAUCGGAAUAAUCGCCAAUAGGAGCAAUCCUGAGCGUGCGACGCCGCGUGAGCGAUGAAGGCCUUCGGGUUGUAAAGCUCUGUGUUACGGGAAGAAACCCUGGUAGGUUAAUAAGCUACCAGAUUGACGGUACCGCAAUAAAAAGCCCCGGCUAACUACGUGCCAGCAGCCGCGGUAAUACGUAGAAAACAAGCGUUGUUCGGAAUCACUGGGCGUAAAGGGCGUACAGGCGGCCACAUAAGUCGGGUGUGAAAUCCUCAGGCUUAACCUGAGGUCUGCAUCCGAUACUGCGUGGCUUGAGAUCAGGAGAGGAGAGUGGAAUAAGUGGUGUAGCGGUGAAAUGCGUAGAUAUCACUUAGAACACCGGUGGCGAAGGCGGCUCUCUGGCCUGAUUCUGACGCUGACGCGCGAAAGCUAGGGUAGCGAACGGGAUUAGAUACCCCGGUAGUCCUAGCCGUAAACGAUGGGUACUAAGUGUAGGAGGUCAUUGACCCCUCCUGUGCUGUAGCUAACGCAUUAAGUACCCCGCCUGGGGACUACGGUCGCAAGACUAAAACUCAAAGGAAUUGACGGG
RNAcentral lists this ribosomal RNA (937 nucleotides) under uncultured bacterium. RNAcentral's name for it is "bacterial SSU rRNA". It matches the Rfam family "Bacterial small subunit ribosomal RNA", at positions 8 to 917 of the family's 1533-position model. The record is from RNAcentral.